UUCGUACGAAGAAGCAAAGAGUGGGGAGAGAGCCACUUGCCGCAUCCACAGCCAAGGUGGCCACCACGGAGGAAAGCCAGCUUGCGAAGAAAGGCCACAUGCAGCGUGCAGCCAGAAGGCAGGAAGAUUCCUGACUUCAUCUGAGCAGCUGCAACCAGACAAGGUGGAAGUUCCACGAGCACAGAGAAACCAUUCCUCAAAGACCCUUGAGUUUCUAUCGCUUUCUGUCAAAGGCCAAGAGCAGAUAAGGCGUCGGAGACCCUCCUGACACCAACACAGCUCCUGAGCGCAGAGUACUUCAGGCUCCCCAACGCGAGAUGCAUCUUUGUUUUUGAUUUUUUUUUCUUUGCAGAAGUGACAGGCUUGGCAUAGUAUUAGUUUGUUUUCUGUUGCUAUAGCAAAGUGCAUAAACACUUCUAAAUAUGAGUUUUAUUUAGCUCACGUGUAGGAGGCUUAAAAUAUAAGAUCAGCCAGCUCCAUCUGCCCAUCCUCUACUCAAGGCUCCCUCGAUCCUGUCACAACAUGGCAGGGACUCAGAAAGAAAUACCCACAUGCAGAAGAGAUGGCCUCUCUUCAUAAAAAUGCACUCUGAAGAGCAGUGACCACCCCCAACCAGGAGACAACAGUAAUCUGUUCAGAGGUAGUGUCCACAAUGAUCUGAUUUCCUCACAAUGGGCCUUAUCUCUUUCUUAAAGCUCCCUCCACUUCAGCACUGCCACUCAGAGAAACGAGUCUCCAGUAUAUGAACCUUGGGGCCCACAAGUGAGAAAGCCAAGCAAAAGCAGGCCGCAGCUCUGUGGAGGAUGGGGGUCACCUUCCUAACACCUGUGAAGAGAAACUUAGUUUCAUGCUCAAGAAUCAAUGCUGUGGGGGCUGGGAAGAUGGCGAAGUGUCUGCUUGCCUUCAGAGCAGGAGAACCUUAGUUCAAUCUCCAAAAUCCAUAAAAGAAAAAGAAAAAGGAAAAAGUUGGGUAUAGAGAAUCUGUCCUAUGCUGAAAGAAAGGAGAAGUUUACUGAGGACACAUUUAGGAUCACAUCUAGGAAGAAGGGGACAAUUGUGAAGAGGUCUUCCCACUGGCUGCACUGGCCCUAGGCUGCGACUCUGCAACUCUGAAGCCUUCUGGAUUUCGUUACCUGUUAGGCAGAUAGUGACCAACUCCAGGUCAUCUCCAGGCAGAUGCUGAAUACAUAACAGUAUGUGUACUACUGUUGUUCCGGGGAACACCAUGUUAGCCGAUACUGGUGCUAUUCAGACUCUUCGAGCUACAGCUGAUGUUUGGCUUGGGAUCUCCGCAUCUGUUUUCAACCGCUGUUGGAUGAAGCCCCUCAGAAGACAGUUUUGCUAGGCUCCUGAAGAUUUAAAGCCUUCGCUGCUCUGUAGCCAAAAGGUGGAUGCUGCAAUGCGUCAUGGGAAGAUGGCUUAUGGUUCAGAUGAAUUCACCAUAAUCCUGCAGAAACCUUACUCUUUAAUCCUCUAAUGACAAUGUCGCUAAACAGAAGCCACUGCUGCCAUCAUUAAUACAUCCACACAUGACCAAGCUAAGAAAUUCCAUUUGGAAACUUUGCAUCAGAAAAUGUCAGUUCCACUGAAUUUGAAGGAAUUUCUGAUAAGAUUUCCUUGCAAAGGGACCAUCUCUUAAUGGGAUUAGAGGGUCACAGUGGUCCCCCGAGACAGUGUGUUGGAAAACCAUUUUGGAAGAAAACACAACUGGGAGAGAAUGGUAAACAUGGCUGCUAAGAGACAACUUCCGACAUUGCCAUCGAUGCAGGGUGGCUCUAUUUCUGCCUUGACUGCCGAGGGAGUGGGCUGGUAUUUUGAGCACCCUGAUGAAGAAUUAGAGAGAAGUGUUAUUGGAGUGCACAAUGUUGACUUUGUCAUGUGCCCAGGCAUAGGGCAAUCAGACCACAGGGGAAUGGGGAGAGUGAUGGCUACACCCCACUUGCUGUGAGCAUCGACACUCCUAUUGACUCCUGUUGACAUGGUGGGGCUGCAGAGUCAAGUACCCUAACAAGAACAUGUGCUCCAAGCAACUACAUUUGCAAAGACUCAGAACUCUGGCUCAGGCUGGCUCAGGACCUAUGAGAAACAUGGGCCUCUGAAGAGGUGGAGAGACAGUUGGAUUAGAAAUAGCUCAGAUAUUGCCCAGACAGGUGGGCACUCUUGAGACUGCAAGGGAAAAAAAGAAAUAAAUAGCUCAGAUACAUGAAGCCAAAACAUUCCUGCUAAGUAGAAUUACUACAGCUAGGGUAGGAGCUGUGACCUUCCCAAGAGGUCACGAGAAUAUCCUGAAUUCUUUUCCUGGCCUUAAUUGUGUUGUCUUUGUUCAUUUUGAAGUCUCUGUUUAAACAGAGAUAUAAGUAGUGUCACGCAAUAAUAAAUUUCUUCAGCAGGCAGUCUUCUGUCUCUGUGGAUUUUGCAUCUGAAGAUUCAAAUAAUAAAUCAAAUAUAUAUUUUUUUAUCUUUAGUAACUUGAGUAUUUCUUAUUUACAUUUUGGUUGUUAUUCCCCUUCCCAGU
Molecule: non-coding RNA, 2515 nt
Organism: Rattus norvegicus (Norway rat)
Lineage: Eukaryota; Metazoa; Chordata; Mammalia; Rodentia; Muridae
Source: RefSeq, a predicted model, not a curated record